RNAcentral lists this ribosomal RNA (253 nucleotides) under uncultured bacterium. RNAcentral's name for it is "partial 16S ribosomal RNA". It matches the Rfam family "Bacterial small subunit ribosomal RNA", at positions 524 to 776 of the family's 1533-position model. The record is from RNAcentral.
UACGGAGGGUGCGAGCGUUGUCCGGAAUCACUGGGCGUAAAGGGCGCGUAGGUGGCGCUGUAAGUCGGGUGUGAAAUUUCGGAGCUCAACUCCGAAACUGCAUUCGAUACUGCGGUGCUUGAGGACUGGAGAGGAGACUGGAAUUCAUGGUGUAGCAGUGAAAUGCGUAGAGAUCAUGAGGAAGACCAGUGGCGAAGGCGGGUCUCUGGACAGUUCCUGACACUGAGGCACGAAGGCCAGGGGAGCAAACGGG